UCCCUGAUAGCUCAGUUGGUAAAGAAUCUACCUGCAAUGAAGGAGACCCUGGUUCAAUUCCUGGGUUGGGAA
RNAcentral lists this transfer RNA (72 nucleotides) under Ovis aries (sheep). It matches the Rfam family "tRNA". From Rfam's summary of the family: Transfer RNA (tRNA) molecules are approximately 80 nucleotides in length. Their secondary structure includes four short double-helical elements and three loops (D, anti-codon, and T loops). Further hydrogen bonds mediate the characteristic L-shaped molecular structure. tRNAs have two regions of fundamental functional importance: the anti-codon, which is responsible for specific mRNA codon recognition, and the 3' end, to which the tRNAs corresponding amino acid is attached (by aminoacyl-tRNA synthetases). tRNAs cope with the degeneracy of the genetic code in two manners: having more than one tRNA (with a specific anti-codon) for a particular amino acid; and 'wobble' base-pairing, i.e. permitting non-standard base-pairing at the 3rd anti-codon position. The record is from Rfam by way of RNAcentral. Lineage: Eukaryota; Metazoa; Chordata; Mammalia; Artiodactyla; Bovidae.